Molecule: long non-coding RNA, 1583 nt
Filed under: Coffea arabica (coffee)
Lineage: Eukaryota; Viridiplantae; Streptophyta; Magnoliopsida; Gentianales; Rubiaceae
Description: long non-coding RNA (CARA_LNC007808)
Source: RNAcentral
UUUAAUACUAUAUAAUUAUCUCCUCACAUGGAUGUUUUACCUCUUGGUAUGAGCUAAUAAAUAUCCAUAAAAGAUUCUUUUCUUUAAAAUGCAAUCCAAAAACAUGAGGUAAAGUUAAUCUAUAAUUUGUAUCGGUUGCUUCUGAAUGUAAAUUGCUCCAACCUCAAGUACAAGUUAGAUCACAAGUCUAAACUCCUAAAAGGACUUUGCACAAAUCCUAGCAUAGGAUGGCUUAAUGCUUUGAUAGCACUUCUAUCAUACCUCAACUCCACCGCCUUAAGACUUUAUUAAUAGUGAAGUCCCUAACUCACGUCAGGACUCAUUCAGUGCCUAAUUUAAAGAUCAACAAUAGAUUUUGUUUACUGCAGAGACAUUUUUACAAUUCAUCAUUGUGCAGUGGAAAUUAAGUUCUACUCAAAUUCACUAGAUUUUGUACAUCUUUAAUACACAUAAGUACCAUUAAACAGAUAAAUCACAACAUAAUGGAAGGAUAUGGUACUGAUUGUCAGUGACGAUCUGGUUCCACCUUAUACCACCAUCAUGCGUUCAGCCUUUUUCUUCAACAAUCAUUUAGGUCAAUUCCAAAACUGCUUUUCACUCUUGGCCCAAUAAAUGGACAAUCUCCUGCCCAAGUCGUGGGUUGUGGACCAAUGUGUGAAAUGAUGUUCAACAUAACCCUUUGCUUGCUCGAUGGAUUAAGGCACAUUAUUGACAUAACACUAGCACUAAUGCGAUAAAGUACACAACUGGUAUGAUCAAGUACAAGUAAUCACGAUACAAUUCUUUGGCAAAACAAUUUGUGAACAUUUUCUGGUGCGAUAAAGUACACAACCAGCAAAAGGUUUAUUGUACUUGCGAGCCAAUGCAAUCAAUCACUUUUCGGUGUGAUAGAGUAUACAUCCGGAUUCAUAAGGACAAUAGUGCAUAUGCAAAUAGCAAUGUGGAAAGUUUGUUCACCUUAAAUAAGAAUUUAUCAUUUAAACAAGAUAAAUGCAUACAUCAUAAUAGUUUUUAAACACUCGAGACUAGCAAUCAUUAAUUUCAAUUUAUCUUCUUUUAGCAUUAGGCUAACACAACUAUUGCUAUGGAUGCACAUCAGUAACUAUAUGUUUAAUAUGUAAUAAGAAAGCUAUUAGAUAAUAACUAUAUGAAUGCAAUAUUAUCACUACUGAAUGCAAUGGACACUUACAUGGAUUUUCUUAUCUAAGGUUGACUUGUCAAUGUCUCAAUACCAUCCUGCUGUCAUUCUUUUUUUUUUUAUACUCUCUUCCUUCCCUUUUUCACACCGUCGUCCACUCGCCUUACAUUCAACUACAAAUUUAUGUUAGUGGUUCUUUGCCUUUGGUGUUACAAAUGGAAGAAAAAAGUCUUUAUUUAUAGGAUUACUUGAAGGAAAUUAGUCAGCAUUAGAAGAAUAUGGAGUGACACGUGUCAUGCCCGUUGCAUACGUGCACCAAACACGUCAAGCAUAGGACACUUGUCAUGGACACGUGUUUAUGGAAAAGAAUGAUAGCACAACUUUUGGUAAUUGUAAGUUGUUCCUUCAGGUUUAAUCUAACUGCAUUCAAGCCAUAAGAAAAUUA